Triticum aestivum (bread wheat) is the source of this 135-nucleotide non-coding RNA. NCBI's taxonomy places the organism in Eukaryota, Viridiplantae, Streptophyta, Magnoliopsida, Poales, Poaceae. The record is from Rfam.
UAUGUACUCCCUUCGUCCGGAAAUACUUGUCAUCAAAAUGAACAAAAGGGGGUGUAUCUAGAUAUAUUUUAGUUCUAGAUUCAUCCCUUUUUGUCCAUUUUGAUGACAAGUAUUUCCGGAUGAAAGGAGUAUCAA